GACGAACGCUGGCGGCGUGCUUAACACAUGCAAGUCGAACGGAAAGGCCCCCACCUUGGUGGGGGUGCUCGAGUGGCGAACGGGUGAGUAACACGUGGGUGAUCUGCCCUGUACUUCGGGAUAAGCUUGGGAAACUGGGUCUAAUACCGGAUAGGACCAUGGUUUAGUGUCUCAUGGUGGAAAAAUUAUUGUUUUGGUGCAGGAUGAGCUCGCGGCCUAUCAGCUUGUUGGUGGGGUAAUGGCCUACCAAGGCGUCGACGGGUAGCCGGCCUGAGAGGGUGGACGGCCACAUUGGGACUGAGAUACGGCCCAGACUCCUACGGGAGGCAGCAGUGGGGAAUAUUGCACAAUGGGCGCAAGCCUGAUGCAGCGACGCCGCGUGGGGGAUGACGGCCGUCGGGUGGUAAACUCCUUUCGUUAGGGACGAAGCCACACCUUUUUUGGGUGUGGUGACGGUACCUUUGUGAAGAAGCACCGGCUAACUACGUG
Molecule: ribosomal RNA, 489 nt
Filed under: uncultured bacterium
Lineage: Bacteria
Description: partial 16S ribosomal RNA
Rfam family: Bacterial small subunit ribosomal RNA
Source: RNAcentral